Molecule: long non-coding RNA, 2421 nt
Filed under: Brassica napus (rape)
Lineage: Eukaryota; Viridiplantae; Streptophyta; Magnoliopsida; Brassicales; Brassicaceae
Description: long non-coding RNA (BNAP_LNC001886)
Source: RNAcentral
AAAAAUAAAGCAAGAUAAGGCCCAAAUACAAAUACGAUCCAAUCGGUUAUCGACAGAGAAUUACAGUCCACGGGGAAGUUCACCGUCAUUAUAUACACGGAGCGCAUGCAUGUAUGUAAAACUAAACUACGACUUGAACAGAAACAAAAAAAAAACUAACAAAGAAAAAAAACUAAAAGCGCGUUUAUAUAAAUGGAAAUAGUUAAAUUAAUUAAAUAAAUGAAAACGGAAACUCAAAUAUAAGACAGCUGUUCGGUCAUAUAUAACCAUCGAAAUAAAAGUUCUGUAACCACACAAAAAAAUAGAAGAAUGGAAAAGCUGUCGUCAUCCGCCGUAGUUCCUCAGCUUCUCCGCAACGUAAUCAUCGCCGUCUUAGUUUUCGCCGACGAAUCUCUCCUCCAAAUCUCCGCAAACUCCAAGCUCCUCGAGAAGCUCCGCCUCUUCCUCGUCGCAUGCUUCCUCUUCUUCCUACGCUCGAUUCCUUCCGUCGUCUCCUUCGCAAACACCAAUCCGACGAGAGGCUACACCUUCCCGGAGAAGAAGAAGAAGCUCGAGAUCGGCGACUGCGAGUCGGAAUCGGGAAUCGGUCGAGCGAUAUGGCAGCUACUGUCGGCGAUGAUUGAGUUUCUUAAUCAAAGCAUCAUCUACAUUCUCCAAGGAUCAGAAGAAGCUUAAGAGUUUGAUGGAUUCUCAAUCUCCAGAAUGAGAAUCAAAAUCAACAAUGUGAUAGUGAGUCAGAUCUCCACAAUGCUCAAAGAGUUUCAACUAAUCGGAGCUAAUACGAUCAGAUCACCACGCGAAGGCGAAUCAGAUACAAUCAACCCCAAUCGAAAAAUAAAAUUUCGAAUCAGAGAGAGCUAACACCAAAACAAUUCCCCUAACGAUAACUACUCAGAUUCGAUGUUAGAGAUUAUUAUCUGAUAAUCUCAAACGAAUUAAACGAAAUGGAGAAGCGAAGGCUAACCAGGAGGAAGGAUUCGUGAUGGCUCUUGGGGGCGUUUCUUUCUUCUUCUUCUUUGUUGUCAAAGAGAUCUUUAGAAAUUGAAAUGUAAAGAGAUGAUCGAAGAGAGGAAUAACGAUACGGGGAGAUAAGGGUAACUUGGUAAUUACAAUCAAACAGACCGGGCCGCUUUCAAAUGGCCCAGUUCAAUUCGAUUUCUCAACUAUGGCCCAAAUCAAUUAUAUUUAAGAAAAUUUCAAUUGAACUGGAAAAAAAUGUGUUCCAUAUUUUCUUAGUGCAGAGGAAGGAAAAGGAAAAGGAAAAGGAAAAGGAAAAAGAAAAAUAAACAUCUUAUAAUACAUAUAUUUAUAUAUAAUCAGUUUCAAGUUAACAUAUAUAUUAAUAAAAUUUGUGAAAGUUGAUUUGUAUGAUUAAAAUGAAAUGAAAUUACCUAAUUUUUUUUAAAAAAUAAGAAACUAUAUAUAACUUGAAGCAACUUAGAAUUCCAAUCAUAGUUUUCUAUUUGAUGUGACGCGAAUAAUAAGCAUGUAAGCUCAACAAAGAAUAUAAUGAUAAAAUAUUAUAGAAAUCUAAUAAAAUGGAAUAUUAUUUGGGUGAAUCCGAUUCUGAUAAAAAAAUUCCUGGAGAGAUAAGCCAGCGAACAACAUACAUGUUCCUAGAAUCAAAGAAAUGAAAAUUAUAUGUGGCCACCAUAUCUUUCAUGAAAUUCUAUUUGUAAUUAAUAAAUUUUUAUUAUGUAAAAAAUAAGCAUCAAUUUGUAAUUAAAAAGUUUGUUUUAUGUAAAAAAAUAAAGCAAGAUAAGGCCCAAAUACAAAUACGAUCCAAUCGGUUAUCGACAGAGAAUUACAGUCCACGGGGAAGUUCACCGUCAUUAUAUACACGGAGCGCAUGCAUGUAUGUAAAACUAAACUACGACUUGAACAGAAACAAAAAAAAAACUAACAAAGAAAAAAAACUAAAAGCGCGUUUAUAUAAAUGGAAAUAGUUAAAUUAAUUAAAUAAAUGAAAACGGAAACUCAAAUAUAAGACAGCUGUUCGGUCAUAUAUAACCAUCGAAAUAAAAGUUCUGUAACCACACAAAAAAAUAGAAGAAUGGAAAAGCUGUCGUCAUCCGCCGUAGUUCCUCAGCUUCUCCGCAACGUAAUCAUCGCCGUCUUAGUUUUCGCCGACGAAUCUCUCCUCCAAAUCUCCGCAAACUCCAAGCUCCUCGAGAAGCUCCGCCUCUUCCUCGUCGCAUGCUUCCUCUUCUUCCUACGCUCGAUUCCUUCCGUCGUCUCCUUCGCAAACACCAAUCCGACGAGAGGCUACACCUUCCCGGAGAAGAAGAAGAAGCUCGAGAUCGGCGACUGCGAGUCGGAAUCGGGAAUCGGUCGAGCGAUAUGGCAGCUACUGUCGGCGAUGAACGACAUCCCGGUGAAUUCUAGAAAGUACGAAGUCGUUAGGUCCUUGGCGGAGAGACU